AAACAAGGGCACUAGGUAUUUGAUAGCAUAGGUUCCAUAGGAUCUCAUGUCGCGUAAUGACUAAAUGAUGAAAAGAAUAUUUUUGCAAAUCAUCAGGAUUAUAUAACUUAAAUAUAUCAGUAUAUUAGUCAGGAUUGUCAAUCUGAUAGUACUGCUUGUCUAGUGAUCAAAGAAAUUUCAGGUAAAACAAGGGCACUAGGUAUUUGAUAGCAUAGGUUCCAUAGGAUCUAAUGUCAUGUAAUGACUAAAUGAUGAAAAGAAUAUUUUUUAGAUAGGUACACAUCUAUUUUAACCUUGGAUCAAACUGAAAUCUCCCAUAUCCCCAUCCCAGCACCUCCCACCUAAACUAGGCACUGGGGGCUGGACCAUGAAUAGAAUAUAAUGGAAAGGAAUCUUGUCUUACACUGCCCCUUUUUUUCCUCAACACUUUUG
Molecule: long non-coding RNA, 432 nt
Filed under: Vitis vinifera (wine grape)
Lineage: Eukaryota; Viridiplantae; Streptophyta; Magnoliopsida; Vitales; Vitaceae
Description: long non-coding RNA (VVIN_LNC006377)
Source: RNAcentral